RNAcentral lists this ribosomal RNA (19 nucleotides) under Phytophthora capsici. RNAcentral describes it as "partial 18S ribosomal RNA". The record is from RNAcentral. Lineage: Eukaryota; Oomycota; Peronosporomycetes; Peronosporales; Peronosporaceae. RNAcentral also lists the same sequence under 6 other names.
AACUGCGGAAGGAUCAUUA